This 73-nucleotide transfer RNA is filed under the name Stegodyphus mimosarum. It matches the Rfam family "tRNA". Rfam says of the family: Transfer RNA (tRNA) molecules are approximately 80 nucleotides in length. Their secondary structure includes four short double-helical elements and three loops (D, anti-codon, and T loops). Further hydrogen bonds mediate the characteristic L-shaped molecular structure. tRNAs have two regions of fundamental functional importance: the anti-codon, which is responsible for specific mRNA codon recognition, and the 3' end, to which the tRNAs corresponding amino acid is attached (by aminoacyl-tRNA synthetases). tRNAs cope with the degeneracy of the genetic code in two manners: having more than one tRNA (with a specific anti-codon) for a particular amino acid; and 'wobble' base-pairing, i.e. permitting non-standard base-pairing at the 3rd anti-codon position. The record is from Rfam by way of RNAcentral. Lineage: Eukaryota; Metazoa; Arthropoda; Arachnida; Araneae; Eresidae.
GCUUUCGUGGUGUAGUGGUCAGCACGCUCGACGCGUAACCGAGAGGUCCGUGGUUCGAUUCCCGGCGAAGCCG